This 443-nucleotide ribosomal RNA is filed under the name uncultured bacterium. RNAcentral describes it as "partial 16S ribosomal RNA". It matches the Rfam family "Bacterial small subunit ribosomal RNA", at positions 338 to 795 of the family's 1533-position model. The record is from RNAcentral.
ACUACGGGCGGCAGCAGUGGGGAAUAUUGGGCAAUGGAGGAAACUCUGACCCAGCAACGCCGCGUGAAUGAUGAAGGUCUUCGGAUUGUAAAGUUCUUUUCUAAGGGAAGAAGAAAGUGACGGUACCUUAGGAAUAAGCCUCGGCUAACUACGUGCCAGCAGCCGCGGUAAGACGUAGGCGGCGAGCGUUAUCCGGAAUGACUGGGCGUAAAGGGUGCGUAGGUGGUUUGGCAAGUUAGUAGCGUAACUCCAAGGCUCAACCUUGUAACUACUACCAAAACUGUUUGACUUGAGUGCAGGAGGGGCAACUGGAAUUCCUAGUGUAGCGGUGGAAUGCGUAGAUAUUAGGAGGAACACCAGUGGCGAAGGCGGGUUGCUAGACUGUAACUGACACUGAGGCACGAAAGCGUGGGGAGCAAACAGGAUUAGAUACCCGUGUAGUC